This 406-nucleotide ribosomal RNA is filed under the name uncultured bacterium. RNAcentral's name for it is "bacterial SSU rRNA". It matches the Rfam family "Bacterial small subunit ribosomal RNA", at positions 976 to 1381 of the family's 1533-position model. The record is from RNAcentral.
AUCCCUUGACAUCCAGAGAAUCAUCGAGAGAUCGAGGAGUGCCUUCGGGAGCUCUGAGACAGGUGCUGCAUGGCUGUCGUCAGCUCGUGUUGUGAAAUGUUGGGUUAAGUCCCGCAACGAGCGCAACCCUUAUCCUUACUUGCCAUCGGGUCAUGCCGGGAACUUUAGGGAGACUGCCGGUGAUAAACCGGAGGAAGGUGGGGACGACGUCAAGUCAUCAUGGCCCUUACGGGAUGGGCUACACACGUGCUACAAUGGCAGAUACAAAGGGUUGCUAACCUGCGAGGGUAUGCGAAUCUCAGAAAGUCUGUCGUAGUCCGGAUCGGAGUCUGCAACUCGACUCCGUGAAGUUGGAAUCGCUAGUAAUCGUGGAUCAGAAUGCCACGGUGAAUACGUUCCCGGGCCU